UUUCCGUAGGUGAACCUGCGGAAGGAUCAUUAUCGUACAACUGAGGUGCGAAGGCUGUCGCUGACCCUCAAAGGUCGUGCACGCCUGAGUGCUUUCACACAAUCCAUCUCACCUUUGUGCAUCACCGCGUGGGUCCCCCUUUGCGGGGAGGGCUUGCGUUUUCACAUAAAACUCGAUACGGUGUAGAAUGUUUCUUUUGCGGUCACACGCAAUCAAUACAACUUUCAACAACGGAUCUCUUGGCUCUC
RNAcentral lists this unclassified non-coding RNA (248 nucleotides) under soil metagenome. Its description in RNAcentral is "partial contains small subunit ribosomal RNA, internal transcribed spacer 1, and 5.8S ribosomal RNA". The record is from RNAcentral.